CAGAAAGGUGCUCCUGAUUCUGGUUCGAUUGGUCCCUCAGCAAGACCUAUCUUCCCAGGUCGGAGCACCUUUCGUCAUCAUCAACACCGCGCCGCGCAG
Molecule: small RNA, 99 nt
Filed under: Nakamurella multipartita DSM 44233
Lineage: Bacteria; Bacillati; Actinomycetota; Actinomycetes; Nakamurellales; Nakamurellaceae
Description: Actinobacteria sRNA Ms_IGR-7
Rfam family: Actinobacteria sRNA Ms_IGR-7
Source: Rfam by way of RNAcentral